UACGUAGGGAGCAAGCGUUGUCCGGAAUCAUUGGGCGUAAAGCGCGCGUAGGUGGCCCUGUAAGUCCGUUGUGAAAGUCAAAGGCUCAACCUUUGAAAGCCGAUGGAUACUGCAGGACUAGAGUACGGAAGAGGCGAGUGGAAUUCCUGGUGUAGCGGUGGAAUGCGUAGAGAUCAUGAGGAAGACCAGUGGCGAAGGCGGGUCUCUGGACAGUUCCUGACACUGAGACACGAAGGCCAGGGGAGCAAACGGG
RNAcentral lists this ribosomal RNA (253 nucleotides) under uncultured bacterium. RNAcentral's name for it is "partial 16S ribosomal RNA". It matches the Rfam family "Bacterial small subunit ribosomal RNA", at positions 524 to 776 of the family's 1533-position model. The record is from RNAcentral.